Cucurbita moschata (crookneck pumpkin) is the source of this 140-nucleotide long non-coding RNA. RefSeq lists it as uncharacterized. The transcript has 3 exons. NCBI's taxonomy places the organism in Eukaryota, Viridiplantae, Streptophyta, Magnoliopsida, Cucurbitales, Cucurbitaceae. The record is from RefSeq and is a predicted model, not a curated record.
GACAGGAGGUUAAAAUUACUACUCGAGUCUCGCAAUCUAUCAAAACGCGAUUCUCACCUAGCCAAUCCAUACCCAAGAUGACAUCGAAGUCUUGCAUGUUUAACACUAUCAGUGUAGCUUCGAUGACACGUCCUGAUAUU